This is a long non-coding RNA of Pezoporus flaviventris, 1838 nucleotides long. RefSeq lists it as uncharacterized. The record is from RefSeq and is a predicted model, not a curated record. NCBI's taxonomy places the organism in Eukaryota, Metazoa, Chordata, Aves, Psittaciformes, Psittacidae. The transcript has 2 exons.
UGGAUAACCAGACAUUUCCUCAUCAUCCCAUCUAAAAAUCUGGGAGUGGACGGCAUUCAUGAAUGAGAGGAGAGACUCUGCAAUCAAUAAAAUGAAGCUGGCCUCUCAAUCUCAGCAAACAAACAAAGCCGUGAUCCCAGGUCAGCCCUCAGAUUUUCACAUUAUAAAGAAGCAGAGAAGACAGGCUGAUGAUUUGCAGUGUUUGGCUGUAGGGCUGCUUCUUAAUCCUGGCACCUGUGGGAACUUCACCAGACAAGGAGGUCAGGAGACGGACUGCCACUUAAAGUAAUGACUAUGAGACUCUCGAGGCUCUCCUCUUCACAAAGAAGAAUGAUUAUCUCCUCUUUCCAUGCAUACUGACAUGUCCAAGGUCAAAUCCAAAUGGACAGAGCCACAGUUACAAAUCCAGACUGAAGGAAAUGCCUAAUCCAACAGGCUGCCCCAGCAGAUUACCUUCAUGUGACACACUGCACUGGUGCCCCAUGUUCCUUGGCCAGGGAACCAAACUGAGAUGAAGCUGAGUCACAGUUCCUAACAUUGAUUAGUCCAGCAUUACUAUGUAAUGAUGCUUAUUAUUACCUUUUGCUUGAUAAGGGCAGGAUCCAAUUUCACUAGUGAGGCAUCUGUGGACUCUGGCUACAAGCAGACAAUUUGUAAGCUAAAGAAAUGAACAUCCCUUACACCUCAGAAGUGAAAUCAAACUGGGGUCAAACCCUGCCUCAUUCCAACAGUUGUCACUAGAUUUUAAGCCAUACAUUAAACCAGCAUUUCUGCAAGCUGGGAGACUGAUACAAACCCAGAAUCAAAGGCUAUGAAAUCCUUUGUAUUUGUACAGCCUCUGCCAAAAGUGCUUUAUUAGCAGGUCACAAAGUCUCAUAGGCUGGAAUUUGUGCGGUAAAUUGUAUUCAGGCUAAGCUCACAAAUCAUUAGCCAUGCAAUCUUGUUUAUCCUGCUAGGACUUGGAGUUUGUCCUGUUACAAAAUCAAAGCAACAAGGUUGAAUGGUUCCAAGUGAAAAGCCUAAGGAGUGAAUAAGAUUCUCUGAGAAGGGAUGAGGGGGCUGGAGGGACAGUCACUUAAUGUAAACAUGGCCAGGAGAUAGCAUGUGAAUGGUUCCGUUGAGGUAAAAUCCCACUGAACAGCCAGAGAAUCACAUCAGUGUUACUGAGGACCCUGUUGUUUGUUCUGCAGCAUGCUGGGGAGUUUGCUCUGGAUGCCAACAGCCUCUGAAACAGGCUAACAGCAGUUUUUAUUCUUCCACUAACGCAUGUGAUUAGGAUGUGUACAAAAGGUUCCUUGGGAAAUUAAGCGUGCUCCAAGUUGGGGAGCUCUGCCUGGUGGGGGGCAAGGCACAGAGAACUGGUUUAUGGGAAGAAGACGGGGAUGGUACCCAAGGCUUUGUCACUGCACAGAGGAGCCACAUGUCCUGCAUGGAUGGGCAUGGGACAACCCUGGCUAGCUUCACAUGCGCCACGGGGCACAGCACAGUUCUCCAUGCAACAUUCUCCAUAGUGCAGGAACAUCUCCACCUGCAUUUAUGCUUUUUGCAAUAAAUACUGUCUGCCUAAUGAGAAUUCACUGUUCCAAAAAUAACUGUAAUUACCCAAGAAGCAGAGGAGCCUAUUUACAAGAUUUAAAGGGAAAGAAGAAAGAAAAUCUCUUAGAAGAAAACUUCCAGCACCUGGACCUCAAUAUACAAAAUGAACUGAAAAGGGGCGGCUCACUCCCUGGGAGAGGCUCAGCAUGUUUGAAGGUGCAUGUACUUCUUGGUACUUUGCCCAUGCCAACCAUGAGGAAUUGCAUAAGUCAGAUGGCAAUAAAAUAUUAUAUGAAAACCAA